Molecule: ribosomal RNA, 497 nt
Filed under: uncultured bacterium
Lineage: Bacteria
Description: partial 16S ribosomal RNA
Rfam family: Bacterial small subunit ribosomal RNA
Source: RNAcentral
GAUGAACGCUGGCGGCGUGCCUAAUACAUGCAAGUCGAGCGAACAGACGAGGAGCUUGCUCCUCUGACGUUAGCGGCGGACGGGUGAGUAACACGUGGAUAACCUACCUAUCAGACUGGGAUCACUUCGGGAAACCGGAGCUAAUACCGGAUAAUCUCUUGAACCGCAUGGUUCAUUAGUGAAAGACGGUUUUGCUGUCACUUCUCGCUGGAUCUGCGCCGCAUUAGCUAGUUGGUAAGGUAACGGCUUACCACGGCAACGAUGCGUAGCCGACCUGAGAGGGUGAUCGGCCACACUGGAGCUGAGACACGGACCAGGCUCCUGCGGGAGGCAGCAGAAGGGAAUCUUACGCAAUGGGCGAAAGCCUGACGGAGCAACGGCGCGUGAGUUAUGAAGGUCUUCGGAUCGUAAAACUCUGUUAUUAGGGAAGAACAAAUGUGGAAGUAACUAUGCACGUCUUGACGGUACCUAAUCAGAAAGCCACGGCUAACUACGUG